GCAGAUGGCGCGGGAUGAUGCGGGUCUUCUUGUUGUCGCGGGCCGCGUUGCCCGCCAGCUCCAGGAUCUCGGCCGUUAGGUACUCCAGCACCGCCGCCAUGUACACCGGCGCGCCGGCGCCCACACGCUCCGCGUAGUUGCCCUUGCGCAGCAGCCGGUGCACACGCCCCACCGGGAACUGUAGCCCGGCCCGGGAAGACCGCGACUUGGCCUUGGCCCGGGCCUUGCCUCCUUGCUUGCCACGGCCAGACAUGGCGGGAUCGGCAAUUACUGCUGCUUUUUCCAAGGGAAGGAUAUGGAAAGGCCCCACUCUUUGAUCCCCUCCGAGUUCCUUAGCAACCGUGGAAUCUAACCUCAAAAGACACCAAAGUCCCGCGUGCAUAAGGAC
This 388-nucleotide long non-coding RNA is filed under the name Mus caroli (Ryukyu mouse). RNAcentral's name for it is "lncRNA (MGP_CAROLIEiJ_G0003406.1)". The record is from RNAcentral. Lineage: Eukaryota; Metazoa; Chordata; Mammalia; Rodentia; Muridae.